RNAcentral lists this ribosomal RNA (198 nucleotides) under uncultured bacterium. RNAcentral describes it as "partial 16S ribosomal RNA". It matches the Rfam family "Bacterial small subunit ribosomal RNA", at positions 328 to 539 of the family's 1533-position model. The record is from RNAcentral.
ACGCUCGACACCUACGGGAGGCAGCAGUGGGGAAUAUUGCACAAUGGGGGAAACCCUGAUGCAGCGACGCCGCGUGAGCGAAGAAGUAUUUCGGUAUGUAAAGCUCUAUCAGCAGGGAAGAAACUGACGGUACCUGACUAAGAAGCACCGGCUAAAUACGUGCCAGUGGCCGCGGUAAUCUGAGCGGGCUGGCAAGGC